UACGUAGGGUGCGAGCGUUGUCCGGAAUUAUUGGGCGUAAAGAGCUUGUAGGCGGUUUGGCGCGUCUGCUGUGAAAAUCCGGGGCUCAACCCCGGACUUGCAGUGGGUACGGGCAGACUAGAGUGUGGUAGGGGAGACUGGAAUUCCUGGUGUAGCGGUGGAAUGCGCAGAUAUCAGGAGGAACACCGAUGGCGAAGGCAGGUCUCUGGGCCACUACUGACGCUGAGAAGCGAAAGCAUGGGGAGCGAACAGG
This 253-nucleotide ribosomal RNA is filed under the name uncultured bacterium. Its description in RNAcentral is "partial 16S ribosomal RNA". It matches the Rfam family "Bacterial small subunit ribosomal RNA", at positions 524 to 776 of the family's 1533-position model. The record is from RNAcentral.